UACGGAGGGUGCAAGCGUUAAUCGGAAUUACUGGGCGUAAAGCGUGCGUAGGCGGUAAGUUAAGUCUGCUGUGAAAUCCCUGGGCUCAACCUGGGAAUGGCGGUGGAUACUGGCUUGCUGGAGUACGGUAGAGGAAGGUGGAAUUCCCGGUGUAGCGGUGAAAUGCGUAGAGAUCGGGAGGAACAUCAGUGGCGAAGGCGACCUUCUGGACCAGUACUGACGCUGAGGCACGAAAGCGUGGGGAGCAAACAGGAUUAGAAACCCCGGUAGUCC
This 273-nucleotide ribosomal RNA is filed under the name uncultured Metallibacterium sp. Its description in RNAcentral is "partial 16S ribosomal RNA". It matches the Rfam family "Bacterial small subunit ribosomal RNA", at positions 524 to 796 of the family's 1533-position model. The record is from RNAcentral. Lineage: Bacteria; Pseudomonadati; Pseudomonadota; Gammaproteobacteria; Lysobacterales; Rhodanobacteraceae.